CAUGCGAGUCGACGCGGAUGAGAGGAGCUUGCUCCUGGAUUCAGCGGCGGACGGGUGAGUAAUGCCUAGGAAUCUGCCUGGUAGUGGGGGACAACGUUUCGAAAGGAACGCUAAUACCGCAUACGUCCUACGGGAGAAAGCAGGGGACCUUCGGGCCUUGCGCUAUCAGAUGAGCCUAUGUCGGAUUAGCUAGUUGGUGAGGUAAUGGCUCACCAAGGCGACGAUCCGUAACUGGUCUGAGAGGAUGAUCAGGCCCACUGGAACUGAGACACGGUCCAGACUCCUACGGGAGGCAAAGUGGGGAAAGGACAAGGGCGAAAGCCUGAUCCAGCCAUGCCGCGGUGUGUGAA
This 350-nucleotide ribosomal RNA is filed under the name Pseudomonas putida. RNAcentral describes it as "bacterial SSU rRNA". It matches the Rfam family "Bacterial small subunit ribosomal RNA", at positions 54 to 409 of the family's 1533-position model. The record is from RNAcentral. Lineage: Bacteria; Pseudomonadati; Pseudomonadota; Gammaproteobacteria; Pseudomonadales; Pseudomonadaceae.